Molecule: small RNA, 407 nt
Filed under: Pan troglodytes (chimpanzee)
Lineage: Eukaryota; Metazoa; Chordata; Mammalia; Primates; Hominidae
Description: processed transcript
Source: RNAcentral
CUCGGACACGGGAGUUUGAGUCCUGCAAAUCAACAACGUCAGUGCCAUGCUGGUCCUCGCCCGGCCGGUGACGGGCCCCCGGGAGUACGUGCUGGACCUGGAGAUGGUCACCAUGAAUUCCCUCAUGAGCUACCGGGCCAGCUCUGUACUGAGGCUCACCGUCUUUGUGGGGGCCUACACCUUCUGAGGAGCAGGAGGGAGCCACCCUCCCUGCAGCUACCCUAGCUGAGGAGCCUGUUGUGAGGGGCAGAAUGAGAAAGGCCCAGGGGCCCCAUUGACAGGAGCUGGGAGCUCUGCACCACGAGCUUCAGUCACCCCGAGAGGAGAGGAGGUAACGAGGAGGGCGGACUCCAGGCCCCGGCCCAGAGAUUUGGACUUGGCUGGCUUGUAGGGGUCCUAAGAAACUC